GACGAACGCUGGCGGCGUGCUUAACACAUGCAAGUCGAACGGAAAGGCCCUGCUUUUGUGGGGUGCUCGAGUGGCGAACGGGUGAGUAACACGUGAGUAACCUGCCCUUGAAUUUGGGAUAACUUCAGGAAACUGGGGCUAAUACCGGAUAGGAUCUCCUGCUGCAUGGUGGGGGUUGGAAAGUUUCGGCGGUUGGGGAUGGACUCGCGGCUUAUCAGCUUGUUGGUGGGGUAGUUGCUUACCAAGGCUUUGACGGGUAGCCGGCCUGAGAGGGUGACCGGCCACAUUGGGACUGAGAUACGGCCCAGACUCCUACGGGAGGCAGCAGUGGGGAAUAUUGCACAAUAGGCGGGAGCCUGAUGCAGCAGCGCCGCGUGCGGGAUGACGGGCUACGGGUUGUAAACCGAUUUCGCCUGUGACGAAGCGUGAGUGACGGUAAUGGGUAAAGAAGCACCGGCUAACUACGUG
RNAcentral lists this ribosomal RNA (468 nucleotides) under uncultured bacterium. RNAcentral's name for it is "partial 16S ribosomal RNA". It matches the Rfam family "Bacterial small subunit ribosomal RNA", at positions 28 to 507 of the family's 1533-position model. The record is from RNAcentral.